CCGAGUUUACAACUCCCAAACCCAUGUGAACAAUACCUACUGUUGCUUCGGCGGGAUUGCCCCGGGCGCCUCGUGUGCCCCGGAUCAGGUGCCCGCCUAGGAAACUUAACUCUUGUUUUAUUUUGGAAUCUUCUGAGUAGUUUUUACAAAUAAAUAA
RNAcentral lists this unclassified non-coding RNA (157 nucleotides) under soil metagenome. RNAcentral describes it as "partial internal transcribed spacer 1". The record is from RNAcentral.